Long non-coding RNA from Cygnus olor (mute swan), 773 nucleotides. RefSeq lists it as uncharacterized. NCBI's taxonomy places the organism in Eukaryota, Metazoa, Chordata, Aves, Anseriformes, Anatidae. The transcript is spliced from 3 exons. The record is from RefSeq and is a predicted model, not a curated record.
AGGACCAAAGAAAUCACAGAAAUGCUAGGGAUAAUUUUUCAGAUUUUACAAUCUAUCUUUCUGCAUGAAAUACGGGGAUCCCUUGCUGGAUCAUAUAUACAUAUCUCAAUAUCAGAGGAAAGAUGGUUUUAAUUUGAACACAGGAAUUGGUGGAAGAAAACUUGACAUCUGUUUGCAACUCUGACCCUAUGGAUGUGGGUAAAUUUUUUACAGUAUAGAACAUCUUUCAUGGAAGCAGAUGCUGAACAGACCUCUACACUUCAGCUUGAAACAUCACUGAAGAUGGUAGAACAGAAAAUCUUUGAAGCAAUGCGACAGAUUUAUAAAGAGAAUCUUUCAUAUUCGCCACGCUCACAACAGCAGAAAUCACAACUGUUCAGUAAACAUUUAAGAGAAGAGGUCUGAAAUGUGUAAGAGGAAACAUUUGCACGUAAUCUUAUCAUUAAAUAAUAUAAUUCUGUCUCAAGAUACUGCCAAUGCUAGAGGUUUAGAAAAGAGAACAAACAAAAACACAUGCAAAAGUAGCUUUUAAAAAGGAGGCCGGGCUCGGAUUUGUGGAGGCCGUGUCCACCUGCAAACAAAAUAUUGUGCACCCUGUAUGUCUGUGCGCUGUGUAACUGAAAGGGCUGGUAGGCUUGGGUUGCUUUGUGCCUUAUUCGUGCUUAUUUAUAUAUUUAUUGAUUUCACUGAACAAAGUGAUGAUGUAGUCUGUCAUUUACAGUGACGACCCCUAACUGUUUUCUCUUGCUGCACCCCACAGACCCUCGCUAGGA